This is a small nucleolar RNA of Ctenocephalides felis (cat flea), 85 nucleotides long. RefSeq annotates it as small nucleolar RNA snR60/Z15/Z230/Z193/J17. NCBI's taxonomy places the organism in Eukaryota, Metazoa, Arthropoda, Insecta, Siphonaptera, Pulicidae. The record is from RefSeq and is a predicted model, not a curated record. The transcript has a single exon.
UCUCAUACUGUGAUGAUAUUAUAGUUCAAUUGAUCGCUGUGAUAUUUACUAUUGCAAUGUCUUUCGCUCCUAUCUGAUUAAUCAA